Molecule: non-coding RNA, 26 nt
Filed under: Homo sapiens (human)
Lineage: Eukaryota; Metazoa; Chordata; Mammalia; Primates; Hominidae
Source: RNAcentral
UGCAAGGAGUCAUAUAGCCUGGGUGU